This 493-nucleotide ribosomal RNA is filed under the name uncultured bacterium. Its description in RNAcentral is "partial 16S ribosomal RNA". It matches the Rfam family "Bacterial small subunit ribosomal RNA", at positions 28 to 506 of the family's 1533-position model. The record is from RNAcentral.
GACGAACGCUGGCGGCGUGCUUAACACAUGCAAGUCGAACGGUGAAGCGCCUUCCUUUUUGGUGGGUGUGGAUGAGUGGCGAACGGGUGAGUAACACGUGAGUAACCUGCCCCCUUCUUCUGGAUAACCGCAUGAAAGUGUUGCUAAUACGGGAUAUUCUGGGUCUGUCGCAUGAUGGGUCUGGGAAAGAUAUUGUUUCGGUGGGGGAUGGGCUCGCGGCCUAUCAGCUUGUUGGUGGGGUGAUGGCCUACCAAGGCGGUGACGGGUAGCCGGCCUGAGAGGGUGGACGGUCACACUGGGACUGAGACACGGCCCAGACUCCGACGGGAGGCAGCAGUGGGGAAUAUUGCACAAUGGGCGCAAGCCUGAUGCAGCGACGCCGCGUGAGGGAUGGAGGCCGUCGGGUUGUGAACCUCUUUCGCCAGUGAAGCAGGCCUGCCUCGUUUGUGGGUGGGUUGACGGUAGCUGGAUAAGAAGCGCCGGCUAACUACGU